This 516-nucleotide ribosomal RNA is filed under the name human intestinal firmicute CO35. RNAcentral's name for it is "bacterial SSU rRNA". It matches the Rfam family "Bacterial small subunit ribosomal RNA", at positions 8 to 521 of the family's 1533-position model. The record is from RNAcentral.
AGAGUUUGAUCCUGGCUCAGGAUGAACGCUGGCGGCGUGCUUAACACAUGCAAGUCGAACGAAACACCUUAUUUGAUUUUCUUCGGAACUGAAGAUUUGGUGAUUGAGUGGCGGACGGGUGAGUAACGCGUGGGUAACCUGCCCUGUACAGGGGGAUAACAGUCAGAAAUGACUGCUAAUACCGCAUAAGACCACAGCACCGCAUGGUGCAGGGGUAAAAACUCCGGUGGUACAGGAUGGACCCGCGUCUGAUUAGCUGGUUGGUGAGGUAACGGCUCACCAAGGCGACGAUCAGUAGCCGGCUUGAGAGAGUGAACGGCCACAUUGGGACUGAGACACGGCCCAAACUCCUACGGGAGGCAGCAGUGGGGAAUAUUGCACAAUGGGGGAAACCCUGAUGCAGCGACGCCGCGUGAGUGAAGAAGUAUCUCGGUAUGUAAAGCUUCUAUCAGCAGGGAAGAAAAUGACGGUACCUGACUAAGAAGCCCCGGCUAACUACGUGCCAGCAGCCGCGGU